CGGCUGCGGCAAGAAGUUCAGCCUCAAGCACCAGCUGGAGACCCACUACCGGGUCCACACAGGCGAGAAGCCCUUCGAGUGCAAGCUGUGCCACCAGCGCUCCCGGGACUACUCGGCCAUGAUCAAACACCUCCGCACCCACAACGGCGCUUCCCCCUACCAGUGCACCAUCUGCCUGGAGUACUGCCCCAGCCUCUCGGCCAUGCAGAAGCACAUGAAGGGCCACAAGCCGGAGGAGAUCCCCACCGACUGGCGGAUAGAGAAGACCUAUCUCUACCUCUGCUACGUCUGAGGGCGGCGGCGCAGGGCGGCGGGGCUGAGGACCGGGCCAAAAAAAAAAAAGCCGCCACCAAACCCGCAGCGUCCACCGCCUUGUUUGUUUGUCGGGUCUCCUGGCUCCUCUCGCCACAGGGAGCCUGCGGGGGGGACGCCCCGGCCCCUUCCCCAGCCCCAUCCGCUCCCCCACCCUGGCUGCCCACCCGGCUUUCACCCCUCGCAGCCCCCCGGGAACUGGCUCCCCAGCCCCUCCAUCGCCGCCGGGAAGACGGCGCGGGAAGGACGUGCUUUGGGAAGGAUUUAAUUUGUGGUUUCCUCCAUCCCCGUGGACGCCCCGCCGAGGACCCCAGCUCAACCUGUGGGGCUUGGCCCCCCUUUCGGGAGGGUUCCCGCACUGCGGCGUCACAGGGAGAGAGCGUCCCCGGGGGCAUGAGGAGGGUGUUUGGGGCAGGGACCCGGGUGCCAGCCGGGGUCCGGGGGGGGGCACCCGGAGGCUGCCGCCCUCCCCCUGACCAAAGACCUCUCUAUGCAUUGCCCCUUCCUUCCCUGCCGUCCCAGGGGGCGAGGGCGAAGCCCCCCAUGGGGGAUGCGGCCGGUUUGGUGGUGCGUAGGGGAUGCAGUGCCGCCAGUGCGCAGCAUUGCUCCCAAUUUGGGGGAUCCUCCGUGUUCUGCUGAUUUAGGGCGCCCGGAGGGUGCCGAGGGUGGUGUUUUGCCCAGCCCCCACUGCAGGAGCCCGCGAGCCGGGGGUCCCGGGGGCAGGCGGCUUCGCUCGCCGCUUUGGUUUUGUUUUGCUUUUCGUUCGGUUUUUUUGAACUUUUCUUUUGGAAUAUUUCCGCGUUUAGCACAUUUUACUUGAAAUUACCUCGUUUUUUUGUGACCUCAUGAGCUUUUAUUGAUUUGGGGGGGACGGGGGGGCGAUGUGGCCGGGCAGGCGCAUGCCUGGCGCUGGCGGUGGAGGGGCGGCAUCGUCCCUGCUGCCCCCCCCUCGUUGUGCAUUAUCCUUACCAAAACUGGUGUUUUUUGCCCGGCCCCGUGGGGCCGGGGGGGCCGGUUCUGAAGCUACCUCUUGUGUUCGUUUUUGUUGUGUUUCUCCUUUGCGGCCGCGGCAGCGAGCUCUGCGCUUUCCAUCCCGCCCGGCGCUCGCGGCCUGGGGUGGUUUUUUUGGUAAUUUUGCUGCGUUUGGGUGAAAAGGCGGGGGGAAGAGUCUGGGGGGGAGUGGGACGGUGUUGGGGUGCGGUUUGGAGGAUGCUGGGGGGUGCCAGUCCCCCCUCUCCCGAGCAGGGAUGCGGGUGCAGCAUCCUCCCUCCCUCGUGCCCUGCUCCGGCUUUGCACGCGCAUGUGCCCCUGCCCGUGGGGCCGAGGCCGCUGUUGUACAAUCCGGGAUGUGACUGUGGAGAACGGCUUUGUUUAAUUGUUGUGCCUAAGGAAAAAAAAAAAAAACACAAAAAAAAGAGAGAUAAAAAAGGAAAAAAAAACUAUUA
RNAcentral lists this long non-coding RNA (1757 nucleotides) under Calidris pygmaea (Spoon-billed sandpiper). RNAcentral's name for it is "lncRNA (ENSCPGG00000002180.1)". Lineage: Eukaryota; Metazoa; Chordata; Aves; Charadriiformes; Scolopacidae. The record is from RNAcentral.